UGCAUCGACGUCGUUCGGGCGCAACGUGCAAACGCAAUACGAGGGAGGGGGGCUAAAACAACCAAAGAGCGUGCAACACAGCAUAAACGACGCCUGAAAAAGAACGGACCCGUCAGCGCACUGCUCACCGGCUCGUCCAACGGCACAGGCGCCACCACGACGAGGCGAGACAUCCGCGGAGCCGCUUAUUCCCAAGAUACACGACCCGGCUGCGCGUGUGCGUGGGCGCUGCUAAUCAUCUCGGCCAAAGUCAAGGGGGGUGUAGGUAUUCUGCUGGUGGCGGGCAGACCCGAGCUCUCUGUUCACCCACACACGCACCGACGCAUUCGCCGCAACUGCCACCACACAGAGAGGCAGAGACCCCCCUCCGAAGGUCAUUCAUUCCACAGAGAUAGGAAGAAGAGAGGAGGAGGGAAAACUCAGCGGACUGGCACUCGUGAGCUUGACCGCGCCACUGCUACACGGUGCUCACCACAUUAUCUGAGUCUGUCUGUUCGUUUUCUUAGAUGGUUUCUUCGCUGGCGUUACUGCCGACAGUGCGCGCGCGUCAUCUUUUGUUUGCCCGUCGUCCGCCAAGAGCGAGAAGGAAGGAGGGAAGGCGGUGAAAGACACACACACACACGUGCACACUUGCAUACGUAGGCCACCGCGAAAAAAUGGAGAAGUAUACGCAGUUGAAGGUGCUCGGCAAGGGCAGCUUCGGCUCCGCCUGGCUCAUCCAGCGCAAUGCAGAUCGCGCGCAGUUCGUGGCGAAAGAGGUUCGGCUUGGUGGCUUGAAGCCUGCGGAGCGAGAAAGCGCGCAGAAGGAGAUCGAUAUGCUGCGCACGCUGAACCACCCAAACAUCACCCGCUACGUUGACCACUUUGAACACAAGGGCUCGCUUUUCAUUGUCAUGGAGUACGCCAACGGCGGUGACCUGUACAUGAGGAUCAAGCAGCAGCAGGGCCAGCUCUUCUCGGAGAAGGGGAUUCUGCAGUGCUUUUCGCAGAUCUGCCUGGCGCUGUCGUACAUGCACGAGCGCCGCAUCCUCCACCGCGACCUCAAGACGCAAAACGUGUUCUUGACCAAGGACGGCGUUGUGAAGGUCGGUGAUUUUGGCAUCAGCACUGUGUUGCGCAACACUUAUGAGUUGAAGCACACGAUCUGCGGCACCCCCUACUAUUUCUCGCCGGAGCUGUGCCUCAACAAACCCUACAACAACAAGAGCGAUGUGUGGGCACUCGGGUGCAUCCUGUACGAGAUGACCACCCUGAACCACGCCUUCGACGGCAGCAACAUGAAGGCGUUGGUGCAGAAGAUUCUCAAGGGCGUGUACCCGCCGAUCCAUCCCAUGUACUCGAGCAACCUGUCGCGACUCAUUUCUUCCAUGCUGCAGAUUGACCCUCACAAGCGGCCGAACGUGUCGCAGGUGCUGGAUCUCAGCUUCAUUCGCGAGGCUCUAGCGGGACUACGGGAAGAGGUGCAAGUGGCACGCGCAGACCGCCGCUCCGUCGUCUCGGUCGAGGAGCGGGCGCACAUGCAGGAGGCCGCGGCCCGGCGCAAGGAAGAGUACCGCCGGAAGGAACUGGAAGCCGCGGCAACUCUGGCUAAGGCGCAGCAGCAGCAGCAGGCCAUCCUCAUGCAGCAGCAGCUCGAGGGAGAGGAGCGGCGGCGCAAUUUAGUGGAGCAGCAGAGGCGACUCCAGCGGCAGCAGGAGCUUGCCCUGCAGGAACGCAAGCGUGCCCUGGACGAGCGAGUGCGGGAGCAGCGCAAGCUGCAAGGGCAAAAAUCCAAGGCGGACGCCAAGGCGCAUCACCAUCGUGAGAAGCAGUGGGACGACAACAUGAAGGAGCAGGUAAUCGAGGAGCAGCGCCGCCGCGAGGCUGAGGAGCACCACCCUCGCUCUGACUGCCAGAGCCCCCCGCAGCUGCAACAGGAGCGGCUACAGCAGCAGCAGGAGCAGUCCGCCGCGGAGGCGUACCGUGAGAUGCGACGACAGGCAGCAGCAAACAAGCAGCGCUGCUACCGAGAGUCUGUUUUUCCGGGCGGAGCACCUUGCUCGCAGCAGCGACAGCAAGGCGAGUCUUCAGCAGUGCCGCCCGGACAGCCGCCACCGCCGCGCACCCCUCCCUCGAGCAGCCAUUACUGCUCGCGCAAGAUGACGCCAGAGGAGCUGGAGGAUGCGCGGUCACAGGCGUUUUGGCAGAUGCGGCGCGAGGCCAUGGAUAACCGAAAAAAGAUGCUGGGCCACGACGUCACAGACACCGGCGAGCCACGGGCACCGACGUCGGCGGAGGCCGCGCCUGGCGCCUCGCCGGCUUCCUCGAAUGGCAAGAGCGCAUCCGUCGCUUCAGUCCCUGCACCGCCGCAGAUGAGUACGCUGCCUCCACCAUCGUCAGCAGCAGCGGAAGAGACGAAACCGACAAAGAAAUCGAUGUCGCGCAAGGAUAAGUUCACACCAGAGAGCACGGGCGCACAGCUGCCGACGCCGUCGCCAGCACCUGCAGUGCUGCUGCCUCCUGGCGCUGCCGCUGCCGCCGUGCCGCAGGAGGUGGAUAACGGCAUGACGCCGGAUGGAGAGGAGGGGCUGCACAACUUCUUGAACGGUGAGGCGGCGGCUGCGUCGCCGACGGAGGCCGAGGACCGCCGGCGAGACGACGACUACAACGCGCUGGAUACGGUCAUUGGCGAGACGUUGAAGGCGGAUCGCAAAAAGAACUUCAAGGACGACUUCGACGACGCCGCCUUCGGCGAGGCGACAGACCCCAGUAGGCUGGUGCUGGACGGUAAGACGUUCCACCUGCCGAAUGUGAGCGCCACCGACCCGCUCAUGCACCGCAUCGAGUCCCUGCGCAUAUUCCUCGAGAAGGAGAUGGGCGACGACGACCUCAUCAAAUGCUACCGAGCCAUGAACAACAUCUCUGCCAGCGAUGAUGAGGUAAUGCACCAGCUGCAGAGCGCGCUGCCACCGUCGAAGCAGCGCUUCAUCCCGCUAGUCGCGCAUCUCGUCGUGUGCGAAGACGCCUUCAACCGCCAGGGCGCCUCCUCCUCCGCCUCCGCCUCCGCAAUCGGGCUUUGAGCGGUGCGCGCACCCCGCAUGUAUGGGCUUGCGUACGUGUUGGUGUUGGUAUGCGCAUGUGCGCGUACAUCUGUGCGUUGGAUGCCAAGCCUCCAAUCCGCACGCGCAUUCACAGCGCACGGCCUUCCUCCUCUCUCACCUUCAUCCUAAAUCUGCAUUGUUCUUCUUUUCCUCUGUGUGUGUGUGUGUAUGUGUGUGACGUUGCGUGGCCCGGGUCUUGUGCCCUCUACCUCCCUCCCUCCAACUCUCUUCACGUGUACACUGCUCAUGAUGUUUCUUUGUUUUUUAGCUACCUCUUCUGUCUUGCAACACCACAGGCGGAUGUGUCGUGGUGUCUGUGUUUGUCUUUGUGCGUGCAACGUAGAGGUAAAGCCUGCUGUGGGGUGCAAGGGGAGAAUGACAGGCACUGCGAGAAGAAGCGCAGCCAUGGUUGCAUAGUAGGCAUGCAGUGCAAUACGGGUGGGUUAGGCGAGGGUGCGGGCCGACGUGCGCACUCCGUCACAGUGACUGAUGCAGACAAGGCGCAGGGGCGCCGCUUCGACCUUUUCGUGUGCUUCGUUUCCCACUUGUGCACCCACGCUCCACCCUUCCACCCCUUCCCUCCGCAUGACAUUAUGUAUUUGAUAGUGAUGACGGAGGGGGUUUUACAUUGGUGUAUAUAUGUGUACAUGCAUCUGCAUCUAUGCAUGUGCCUGCGUGUGUAGGAUUUGUUAUUGUGCGCGUGCGUAUUUGGUGCGUGCAUUGAUGCGUCGAUGUGCCUCUUGAGUGCGCCGCGGCUCUGCGGUAGGCUCGAAAUCCUCUUCUUGACCUUCCUUUAUUUGUAUUGCUGCCAUCUGCUCCCUGUUGCAUCUCCGAUGCAGGAUGAUGGGCGGUAGGUCCACGGGCGCGUAUACGCAUGCUCACGUGUGGCUACAUGUCACCUGACGCGCACCUACGUAGUCACGCACGCAGCACACCAAGACCACUUCUGCCGCUAUGGCCACUAUCAUCAUCACCGUUUCUCCCUCUCCGUGUUUGUUUGCCUGUGCCCUCCUCCCCUUCCCUCCUUCCCGGAUACGCACGCGCGCACUCACGGUAUCAUCUUUAUCCCUUGUGCUUGCCUGUUCGGCUCCUUUUCUCCAUUUCCGUUUGCCCGAUUCUUUCUGACCCUCUCCCUGCCCCCCCCCCUCCUCCUUCUCCUCCCCGUAUACUCUCUACGCCAUAUAUGCUGUUGCUCUCGCGUGUGCGUGUUUGUCAUUAUACGGAUGCCUGUGUGUGUAUGUGUCGUGGCGUGGCCUUUCACCUCUUCUUCUUGUCGGUGUUCCUCCCUCAUCAGCCGAGCCCUACGGCUCUCUUGCCAUCUCUCCUCCUCAACCCUUCCCUGCCUUUCCCUUGCCUGCCUGUGUGCUUUUGUAGUGUAGCGUACUCGGCAUGGAUGUCUGCAUGUGCCUUUCUCUGCAAAUGGGAGGCUAGUGCAGGAACACCCAUGGACACGCAGGAUAGAU
This 4543-nucleotide unclassified non-coding RNA is filed under the name Leishmania donovani. RNAcentral's name for it is "gene:LdHU3.21.2240(CDS-product:NIMA-related_kinas e_putative)". The record is from RNAcentral. Lineage: Eukaryota; Euglenozoa; Kinetoplastea; Trypanosomatida; Trypanosomatidae.